Molecule: long non-coding RNA, 397 nt
Filed under: Homo sapiens (human)
Lineage: Eukaryota; Metazoa; Chordata; Mammalia; Primates; Hominidae
Description: non-protein coding CYTOR:125
Source: RNAcentral
UUUUUCACAGAAUCUCAGUCUGGAUUCUUCUACACUUCUCUUUACUCACAUACCUGCAAUUUUUUUCGUUCUUCGCCUUGUGUAUGAGGAGCUUAAGUUGAAUACUCUAAUGGGAGAAGGAAUUUGUUCACUCUUGAACUUCUCGUUCAGUUGGCAAGGUCAAACAGGAUUUAUGCAUCAUCCAUCAUUUUUUACGUCUGAGCUGGAAUCUGUGAAAGAAGCAGACUUGUAGUCUUGUGUACAUACUUGGUGAUGAGAGCUCAGUUUCUGAUGAAUCCUCACAGUAUUUAACCAGAAUAACUGUAGCCCCCCAGAAGUUGCAAGCAGAACAAGAGGAAAACAGGUUUAGUUUCAGGCAUUCUACGUCUGUUUCUAGUCUAGCUGAAAGAUUGGUUGG